Non-coding RNA from Pelobates cultripes (western spadefoot toad), 257 nucleotides. NCBI's taxonomy places the organism in Eukaryota, Metazoa, Chordata, Amphibia, Anura, Pelobatidae. The record is from the annotation of a GenBank genome assembly.
UGGCAAUCAGUCUUCUCCAAUGCCCAGUGGCGAGGCUGGUUCCGCCACAGUCUGUCCUGUGGAAAAGAUCUUUUAGGACGUCUAUCUUGAGGGAGAAAGGCCUUAUGUCCUUCCACUGCCCUUUUAAUACAUUCGUCCAGAUAUUUGCCAAAGAGCACAUCCCCUUGAAAACGGAGGGCACACAGGCUAUUUUAUGAAGAGGUAUCUGCCACCCAAUUAUGUAGCCAAAGAGCACGUAUUGAUGCUACUGUUAGGAC